This 439-nucleotide ribosomal RNA is filed under the name Bdellovibrio bacteriovorus. RNAcentral's name for it is "bacterial SSU rRNA". It matches the Rfam family "Bacterial small subunit ribosomal RNA", at positions 49 to 514 of the family's 1533-position model. The record is from RNAcentral. Lineage: Bacteria; Pseudomonadati; Bdellovibrionota; Bdellovibrionia; Bdellovibrionales; Pseudobdellovibrionaceae.
CNAUACNUGCAAGUCGAACGGGGUAGCAAUACCUAGUGGCGCACGGGUGAGUAACGCGUGGAUAAUCUGCCUUAGAGUGGGGGAUAACUAGUCGAAAGAUUAGCUAAUACCGCAUAAGACCACAAGAACUGCGGUUCAAGGGGUCAAAGGUUUUUCGCUCUAAGAUGAGUCCGCGUAAGAUUAGCUAGUUGGUGAGGUAAUGGCUCACCAAGGCGACGAUCUUUAACUGGUCUGAGAGGAUGAUCAGUCACACUGGAACUGAGACACGGUCCAGACUCCUACGGGAGGCAGCAGUAGGGAAUAUUGCACAAUGGAGGAAACUCUGAUGCAGCGACGCCGCGUGAGUGAUGAAGGCCUUCGGGUCGUAAAGCUCUGUCGCAGGGGAAUAACACAAUGAAUGUACCCUGUAAGAAAGGAUCGGCUAACUUCGUGCCAGCAG